RNAcentral lists this long non-coding RNA (2865 nucleotides) under Homo sapiens (human). RNAcentral's name for it is "HSALNT0020469". Lineage: Eukaryota; Metazoa; Chordata; Mammalia; Primates; Hominidae. The record is from RNAcentral.
AGCAUUAACUAAAUAGAGGCCUUACUGAGACAACAUCAGAGCCACCUGGCAUGUGGAAAUUUCUGUAUUAGAUCACAGGAUCCUCCAGUGACAACCCAACCCAACAUAAUUUUCCACCGUUGUCUUUAAAGUCCUAGAGGCUUGAGGGUGAAGUUUGUAAGUCUCCUUUCUGAUUCUACCUCUGGCCUGCUUCAUCUCAGGCUUCCCAAGGUCCAAUCCCUAUAUUAUGGUUUUUACAUUUUUCUGCAAACUUUUAAAAUACAUUUUUCUUUAAAAGGUGCAGCCUAUUCUCCUCCCCUUGAAUGUGAGCCAGACUUCUCUCUAAAGAAUAGAAUGUGGUGGAAGUGAAGCCAUGUGACUUCUGAGGCUAGAUCAUAAAAAGGAUAGCCUCUGCCUGAAUCUCUUUCUCCUGGGUCUCUCACCCUGGGGGAAGCCAGUGACCAUGUCAUGAGGACACUCAAGCAUCCUCCGAAGAGGUCCAUGAGGAGAGGAACUGGGUCUCCUUGCCAACAGCCAGCACCAUCACGCCCAUUAUAUAAGUAAGCCACCUUGGAAGUGGCUCCUCCAGCCCCAAUCAAGCCUUCAGAUGACUGCAGCCCAGCCUACACCUGGAGUGCAAUCUCCUGAGACACUACAAGCCUGAACUGCCCUGCCAAGCCUCUCCUAGAUUCCUGACCCCCACACACUGUGUUUAUUUAUUUUUUAUUAUGUAUGUUCCUUAUUUUUAUCUUAAGCUACUCAAUUUGGGGGUAAAUAGAUAUGCGGCAAUAGACAAUGAAUACACUCCAUCUCCUUGAUGUAUCUCCAUCUCCCUGAACUUAAAUGUAGCUUGGAUACCCUGCUUGCAUCAUCCUGGCUAGUCUGUCUGCUGUCCUGGGUGAAGGCAGCAGGGGAUGCCAGGUCAGGAGCAGUGCUCUGAGGACAAAGAAUUUCAGCUCCUGGAGAAAAGUUGACCCGACCUUUUAUCCUACAAAGGGCUCAGCAGAGAAGCUGCCAGUGUUGUCAAUGCUGGUGUUCUCCAAGCUUCUGUCUUCAUUGGGAGUGAGGGAAGUGCAAGAGAGAAUAUUCCUGAAAAGUAGCACCUUUCAUUUUUUAAAGUAAUAUAUUGCAUGUCAAUAUUAAGACUGAUGAAAAUCUGUUAAAAGAUUUCACAAUUGUUGUAAGAGGAAAAAAAAGCAGCAGCAGUACUGUAAGAUGUGGGGAGACAGUUUUCAAAGGAUGGCACCUUUUUCACAUACUUGCCCUUCACCAAUCAGAAAUUGAAUCCCUGCCCCUAGGCAGGCACUCUGUGAUGUUAGAACCUGAAUACACCUCUUUCCUCAUCUCUCUUCUCACUCCUGCCUGUGAUACUUAAGGGAUCUUCAACUCCCCCAUUGCUCCAAAUACUACCUGUAUUCUGAUGACUUGCCAGAAAAUAGCUCCAAGCUCAGUUCCCUACUGAGGUUGAGAUCCCUCGCAUCUCUGAUAUGGCAGACAAGGCUAGCCACAAUUUUGUCUGAGCCUCAUCUCCUGCGACCUCACCCUAAACCCCUAAGGUGGAGCCCAACUAUUAGAGCUUAUCUAUUAUUUCCUGUGGCAGUGACUGCAAAUUGCCAAUCAAAAUCCAUCUCCAUUCUUUCUUUCUAAGAGAAUCUAGCUAAAAGACCAUGAUUCCAAGCCUUUGUGAAACAGGAGGCCAUGCAAUUAAGUUCUGGCAGUGAUGUCUAAACAGAAGUGAAAUGUGAGACUUCUGAAAAGCUGUUUAAAGGAAACUGACUCAGCUGAAGGGAGGGGCCUUUGUCCUUCUCUCCCUUUCUUAUUUCUGCUGCCCAGAACUGGGAUGUGUUGGCUGGAGCUCCUGCAGCCAUUCUGGACCGUGAGAUGACCUUGAGAAUGAAAGCCAUGUGCUAAGGAUGUGGAGCAGAAAAGCGGAAUAUUAAAAUAUAUAUGGCACCAUUUUGCACCAGGUUCUGUUCAAAACGCAUUUCCUUUAUUAAAUCAUUUAAUCCUCAGAGCAGUCCUCAAAGAUAGAUACUUUUAUUAUCCUCAUUUUACAGAUGAGGAAGCAGAGAGGAAAGGUAACUUCCUCAAAAUCUCAUGGCCUGAGAAAGGACUAAAACUCAGGCCAGUGUGACUCUGGAGUCCGUGCUCUAAGCAGUCAUCUUGCAUUGCCUGGGUUCCUCAUGACUCAGGAACUACCUACCACACCAGCCCCGGGCUGCCUAGCUCUGCACUUCUCUUGUGUAUGAAAGAAAUAAACCUCUAGCUUACUUAAGUCACUGCUAUUUUGAGUUCUCUAUUGUUGGCUGCCAAGCCUAUGCCUACCUGAUACAUUCUCCAAUUGAUUUUCAUGCCUCCAGGCACUUGUUCAAACUCUUCCUUCUGCCUGGAAUGCCCUUUCCAUUGUACACUCCUCUGUUAGCACACAUCAAAUGCAGAAUAACAUCACAGCUAUUUCUUUACCCAUCUGUCUUCCAAGCUAGAUGUUCACCAUCCAGAAUGGAGGGACACUGUCUUAUAGUCUGUUCCCAUAAAAUUUAACCUGGUCUGGCACAUAAUAAGUGCUCUAUAAAUGUUCCCUGAAUUUAAUUAAAUUGGGGGAAAAUCCCAGUCUUAUACAAAAGCAGGAUAAAAUGGUUUGACAUCACAUAUGUUGGGGUGUUACUCCCCUUCCCCUUUCUCCCAACCAAGGCUACCCCAAAUCUUCUUACUUGUUUCUCGAUCCUUCCACUAAGUUUGCUUUUUGUUCCACAGUGAAAUGAAACUUACUUUUAAUGAGCACUCCGUGUAUCGUGGACAUUUCACAUGCUAUUUCAUUCUCUACAACACUGAGAAGUUUUCUAGAGAUGAGAAAACUGAGGCUCUCAGAGAGAAGGUGAUUCUCCC